RNAcentral lists this RNase P RNA (307 nucleotides) under Mycobacterium marinum M. RNAcentral describes it as "ribonuclease P RNA". It matches the Rfam family "Bacterial RNase P class A", at positions 40 to 320 of the family's 367-position model. Rfam says of the family: Ribonuclease P (RNase P) is a ubiquitous endoribonuclease, found in archaea, bacteria and eukarya as well as chloroplasts and mitochondria. Its best characterised activity is the generation of mature 5'-ends of tRNAs by cleaving the 5'-leader elements of precursor-tRNAs. The record is from RNAcentral. Lineage: Bacteria; Bacillati; Actinomycetota; Actinomycetes; Mycobacteriales; Mycobacteriaceae.
AUCGAGGAAAGUCCGGACUUCACAGAGCUGGGUGAUUGCUAACAGCAAUCCGAGGUGACUCGCGGGAAAGUGCCACAGAAAACAGACCGCCACCCUCGCGGUGGUAAGGGUGAAACGGUGCGGUAAGAGCGCACCAGCACCCCGGGUGACCGGGGUGGCUAGGCAAACCCCACCCGAAGCAAGGUCAAGAAGGCCGUACCGUAGGUGCGGCCGCGCAGGCGUUUGAGGGCUGCUCGCCCGAGUCUGCGGGUAGGCCGCUCGAGGUACCCGGCAACGGUGUGCCCAGAUGGAUGGUCGCCGCCGCGCC